GCACUCCCGGGGCGUCCCGCACUCAUCGCGAGGCGAGGCGCACCGAGAGCGCGCGCGCCGGGACCCGAAAGAUGGUGAACUAUGCCUGGUCAGGAUGAAGUCAGGGGAAACCCUGAUGGAGGUCCGUAGCAAUUCUGACGUGCAAAUCGAUCGUCGGAACUGGGUAUAGGGGCGAAANACUAAUCGAACCAUCUAGUAGCUGGUUCCCUCCGAAGUUUCCCUCAGGAUAGCUGGCACUCNGACGAACCCCGAACCAAAAUCGCACGAGUCUCAUCCGGUAAAGCGAAUGAUUAGAGGCAUUGGGGUCNAAACGGCCUCAACCUAUUCUCAAACUUUAAAUGGGUGAGAUCUCCGGCUUGCUCGAAGGGGCUCGCGCCGCGCGUCCUUCGGGGCGCGCGCGNCGCGGCCCCGCCUGAAGCCGAAGAUCGGAUCAACGGGUGCCAAGUGGGCCACUUUUGGUAAGCAGAACUGGCGCUGUGGGAUGAACCAAACGUCGAGUUAAAGCGC
RNAcentral lists this ribosomal RNA (507 nucleotides) under Nebrioporus martinii. Its description in RNAcentral is "eukaryotic LSU rRNA". It matches the Rfam family "Eukaryotic large subunit ribosomal RNA", at positions 755 to 1188 of the family's 3401-position model. Lineage: Eukaryota; Metazoa; Arthropoda; Insecta; Coleoptera; Dytiscidae. The record is from RNAcentral.